This 73-nucleotide transfer RNA is filed under the name Camelus bactrianus (Bactrian camel). It matches the Rfam family "tRNA". From Rfam's summary of the family: Transfer RNA (tRNA) molecules are approximately 80 nucleotides in length. Their secondary structure includes four short double-helical elements and three loops (D, anti-codon, and T loops). Further hydrogen bonds mediate the characteristic L-shaped molecular structure. tRNAs have two regions of fundamental functional importance: the anti-codon, which is responsible for specific mRNA codon recognition, and the 3' end, to which the tRNAs corresponding amino acid is attached (by aminoacyl-tRNA synthetases). tRNAs cope with the degeneracy of the genetic code in two manners: having more than one tRNA (with a specific anti-codon) for a particular amino acid; and 'wobble' base-pairing, i.e. permitting non-standard base-pairing at the 3rd anti-codon position. RNAcentral also lists the same sequence under 2 other names. The record is from Rfam by way of RNAcentral. Lineage: Eukaryota; Metazoa; Chordata; Mammalia; Artiodactyla; Camelidae.
GAGGGUAUAGCUCAAAUGAUAGAGCGCUUGCCUAGCGUGCGUGAGGUCCUGGGUUCAAUCUUCAGUACCUCCA